RNAcentral lists this ribosomal RNA (301 nucleotides) under uncultured bacterium. RNAcentral's name for it is "partial 16S ribosomal RNA". It matches the Rfam family "Bacterial small subunit ribosomal RNA", at positions 509 to 807 of the family's 1533-position model. The record is from RNAcentral.
CAGUCGCCGCGGUAAUACGAAGGGUGCAAGCGUUAAUCGGAAUUACUGGGCGUAAAGCGUGCGUAGGCGGUGAGUUAAGUCUGCUGUGAAAUCCCCGGGCUCAACCUGGGAAUGGCAGUGGAUACUGGCUCGCUAGAGUGUGUCAGAGGAUGGUGGAAUUCCCGGUGUAGCGGUGAAAUGCGUAGAGAUCGGGAGGAACAUCAGUGGCGAAGGCGGCCAUCUGGGACAACACUGACGCUGAGGCACGAAAGCGUGGGGAGCAGACAGGAUUAGAUACCCCAGUAGUCCCUGUCUCUUAUAC